Molecule: ribosomal RNA, 253 nt
Filed under: uncultured bacterium
Lineage: Bacteria
Description: partial 16S ribosomal RNA
Rfam family: Bacterial small subunit ribosomal RNA
Source: RNAcentral
UACGAAGGUCCCAAGCGUUAUCCGGAAUUAUUGGGCGUAAAGCGCAUGUAGGCGGUUUGUUAAGUCUGGUGUGAAAGCUCAAGGCCUAACCUUGAAAUUGCAUUGGAAACUGGCAAACUAGAAUACUGGAGGGGUAAGUGGAAUUCCAUGUGUAGCGGUGGAAUGCGUAGAUAUCUGGAGGAACACCGGUGGCGAAGGCGGCAUCCUGGACCAAUAUUGACGCUGAGGAGCGAAAGCUAGGGGAGCAAACGGG